GGCCUUGAAAGUGUAAACAUGUCGAACUGCAAAUUCGAAGAAGCAGCUUCAAUUCUGCCGGGGCUU
Molecule: transfer RNA, 66 nt
Filed under: Elephas maximus (Asiatic elephant)
Lineage: Eukaryota; Metazoa; Chordata; Mammalia; Proboscidea; Elephantidae
Also listed under: 4 other names
Description: transfer RNA-Cys
Rfam family: tRNA
About the family: Transfer RNA (tRNA) molecules are approximately 80 nucleotides in length.
Source: RNAcentral